Molecule: ribosomal RNA, 506 nt
Filed under: uncultured bacterium
Lineage: Bacteria
Description: partial 16S ribosomal RNA
Rfam family: Bacterial small subunit ribosomal RNA
Source: RNAcentral
AGUGAACGCUGGCGGUAGGCCUAACACAUGCAAGUCGAACGGCAGCACAGGAGAGCUUGCUCUCUGGGUGGCGAGUGGCGGACGGGUGAGGAAUACAUCGGAAUCUACUCUGUCGUGGGGGAUAACGUAGGGAAACUUACGCUAAUACCGCAUACGACCUACGGGUGAACGCAGGGGAACUUCGGGCCUUGCGCGAUUGAAUGAGCCGAUGUCGGAUUAGCUAGUUGGCGGGGUAAAGGCCCACCAAGGCGACGAUCCGUAGCUGGUCUGAGAGGAUGAUCAGCCACACUGGAACUGAGACACGGUACAGACUCCUACGGGAGGCAGCAGUGGGGAAUAUUGGACAAUGGGCGCAAGCCUGAUCCAGCCAUACCGCGUGGGUGAAGAAGGCCUUCGGGUUGUAAAGCCCUUUUGUUGGGAAAGAAAUCCAGCUGGCUAAUACCCGGUUGGGAUGACGGUACCCAAAGAAUAAGCACCGGCUAACUUCGUGCCAGCAGCCGCCGUAA